GAUGAACGCUGGCGGCGUGCCUAAUACAUGCAAGUCGAGCGAACGGACGAGAAGUUUGCUUUUCUGAUGUUAGCGGCGGACGGGUGAGUAACACGUGGAUAACCUACCUAUAAGACUUGGAUAACUUCGGGAAACCGUAGUUCAUACUGGAUAAUAUUUUGAACUGGUUGGUUCUAAAGUGAAAGGCGGUCUUGCUGUCACCUAUAGAUGGAUCCGCGCUGCAUUAGCUAGUUGGUAAGGUAACGGCUUACCAAGGCAACGAUGCAUAGCCGACCUGAGAGGGGGAUCGGCGACACUAGAGCUGAGACGCGGUCCUGACUCCUACGGGAGGGAGCAGUAGGGAAUCUUCCGCAAUGGGCGAAAGCCUGACGGAGCAACGCCGCGUGAGUGAUGAAGAUCUUCGGAUCGUAAAACUCUGUUAUUAGGGAAGAACAUAUGUGUAAGUAACUGUGCACAUCUUGACGGUACCUAGUCAGAAAGCCACGGCUAACUACGUG
This 497-nucleotide ribosomal RNA is filed under the name uncultured bacterium. Its description in RNAcentral is "partial 16S ribosomal RNA". It matches the Rfam family "Bacterial small subunit ribosomal RNA", at positions 28 to 507 of the family's 1533-position model. The record is from RNAcentral.